RNAcentral lists this ribosomal RNA (253 nucleotides) under uncultured bacterium. Its description in RNAcentral is "partial 16S ribosomal RNA". It matches the Rfam family "Bacterial small subunit ribosomal RNA", at positions 524 to 776 of the family's 1533-position model. The record is from RNAcentral.
UACGGAGGGGGCUAGCGUUGUUCGGAUUUACUGGGCGUAAAGCGUGCGUAGGUGGUUUGUUAAGUCUGUUGUGAAAGCCCCGGGCUCAACCUGGGAAUGGCAAUGGAUACUGGCAGGCUAGAGUGCGGUAGAGGGUAGUGGAAUUCCCGGUGUAGCGGUGAAAUGCGUAGAGAUCGGGAGGAACACCAGUGGCGAAGGCGGCUACCUGGACCAGCACUGACACUGAGGCACGAAAGCGUGGGGAGCAAACAGG